GAUGAACGCUAGCUACAGGCUUAACACAUGCAAGUCGAGGGGAAACGACAGAGGAAGCUUGCUUCCUUUGGGCGUCGACCGGCGCACGGGUGAGUAACGCGUAUCCAACCUUCCCGCAAGUAAGGGAUAACCCGUAGAAAUGCGGCCUAAUACCUUAUGUUUUCCUUAGAGGGCAUCUGAUGAGGAACAAAGAUCCGUCGCUUGCGGAUGGGGAUGCGUCUGAUUAGUUAGUCGGCGGGGUAACGGCCCACCGAGACGACGAUCAGUAGGGGUUCUGAGAGGAAAGUCCCCCACAUUGGAACUGAGACACGGUCCAAACUCCUACGGGAGGCAGCAGUGAGGAAUAUUGGUCAAUGGGCGUAAGCCUGAACCAGCCAAGUAGCGUGCGGGAUGAAGGCCCUA
This 402-nucleotide ribosomal RNA is filed under the name uncultured bacterium. RNAcentral's name for it is "bacterial SSU rRNA". It matches the Rfam family "Bacterial small subunit ribosomal RNA", at positions 28 to 419 of the family's 1533-position model. The record is from RNAcentral.